GACGAACGCUGGCGGCGUGCUUAACACAUGCAAGUCGAACGGAAAGGCCCUGCUUUUGUGGGGUGCUCGAGUGGCGAACGGGUGAGUAACACGUGAGUAACCUGCCCUUGACUUUGGGAUAACUUCAGGAAACUGGGGCUAAUACCGGAUAGGAGCUCCUGCUGCAUGGUGGGGGUUGGAAAGUUUCGGCGGUUGGGGAUGGACUCGCGACUUCUCAGCUUGUUGGUGGGGUAGUGGCUUACCAAGGCUUUGACGGGUAGCCGGCCUGAGAGGGUGACCGGCCACAUUGGGACUGAGAUACGGCCCAGACUCCUACGGGAGGCAGCAGUGGGGAAUAUUGCACAAUGGGCGGAAGCCUGAUGCAGCAACGCCGCGUGCGGGAUGACGGCCUUCGGGUUGUAAACCGCUUUCGCCUGUGACGAAGCGUGAGUGACGGUAAUGGGUAAAGAAGCACCGGCUAACUACGUG
This 468-nucleotide ribosomal RNA is filed under the name uncultured bacterium. Its description in RNAcentral is "partial 16S ribosomal RNA". It matches the Rfam family "Bacterial small subunit ribosomal RNA", at positions 28 to 507 of the family's 1533-position model. The record is from RNAcentral.